AUUGAACGCUGGCGGCAGGCCUAACACAUGCAAGUCGAACGGUAACAGGAAGCAGCUUGCUGCUUCGCUGACGAGUGGCGGACGGGUGAGUAAUGUCUGGGAAGCUGCCUGAUGGAGGGGGAUAACUACUGGAAACGGUAGCUAAUACCGCAUAAUGUCGCAAGACCAAAGAGGGGGACCUUCGGGCCUCUUGCCAUCGGAUGUGCCCAGAUGGGAUCAGCUUGUUGGUGGGGUAACGGCUCACCAAGGCGACGAUCCCUAGCUGGUCUGAGAGGAUGACCAGCCACACUGGAACUGAGACACGGUCCAGACUCCUACGGGAGGCAGCAGUGGGGAAUAUUGCACAAUGGGCGCAAGCCUGAUGCAGCCAUGCCGCGUGUAUGAAGAAGGCCUUCGGGUUGUAAAGUACUUUCAGCGGGGAGGAAGGGAGUAAAGUUAAUACCUUUGCUCAUUGACGUUACCCGCAGAAGAAGCACCGGCUAACUCCGUG
RNAcentral lists this ribosomal RNA (490 nucleotides) under uncultured bacterium. RNAcentral's name for it is "partial 16S ribosomal RNA". It matches the Rfam family "Bacterial small subunit ribosomal RNA", at positions 30 to 507 of the family's 1533-position model. The record is from RNAcentral.